RNAcentral lists this ribosomal RNA (502 nucleotides) under Soceulia major. RNAcentral describes it as "partial 16S ribosomal RNA". It matches the Rfam family "Bacterial large subunit ribosomal RNA", at positions 1853 to 2608 of the family's 2925-position model. Lineage: Eukaryota; Metazoa; Arthropoda; Malacostraca; Decapoda; Leucosiidae. The record is from RNAcentral.
UCUGGCCUGCUCACUGAUAAAAUUAUUAAAGAGCUGCGGUAUAUUGACUGUACAAAGGUAGCAUAAUCAUUAGUUUUUUAAUUGAAAACUUGUAUGAAUGGUUUGACAAAAUAAAUAUUGUCUCUUUUAUUAAAAUAAAACUUAACUUUUAAGUGAAAAGGCUUAAAUUACUACAAAGGGACGAUAAGACCCUAUAAAGCUUUAUAUUUAUAUUUUAUUUUAAAAAAUUAAUUUAAUUGUAAGAUUUAAAAUAUUUUAAUUAACUGGGGCGGUGCGUAAAUAAUUAUUUUAACUUUGUGAAAUUGAAACAUUUAUAUAUGAUAAAUUAAUUGAUCCUUAUUAAAGAUUAAAGUAAAGUUACUUUAGGGAUAACAGCGUUAUUUUUUUUGAGAGUUCAUAUCGAAAAAAAAGAUUGCGACCUCGAUGUUGAAUUAAAAGUUCUGUUUAGUGUAGCCGUUAAAUUAGAAGGUCUGUUCGACCUUUAAAUUUUUACGUGAUCUGA